This 376-nucleotide ribosomal RNA is filed under the name uncultured organism. RNAcentral's name for it is "partial 16S ribosomal RNA". It matches the Rfam family "Bacterial small subunit ribosomal RNA", at positions 527 to 897 of the family's 1533-position model. The record is from RNAcentral.
GUAGGUGGCAAGCGUUGUCCGGGAAUUAUUGGGGCGUAAAGCGCGCGCAGGCGGUUCUUUAAGUCUGAUGUGAAAGCCCACGGGCUCAACCGUGGAGGGUCAUUGGAAACUGGAGAACUUGAGUACAGAAGAGGGAAGCGGAAUUCCACGUGUAGCGGUGAAAUGCGUAGAGAUGUGGAGGGACACCAGUGGCGAAGGCGGCUUUCUGGUCUGUAACUGACGCUGAGGCGCGAAAGCGUGGGGAGCAAACAGGAUUAGAUACCCUGGUAGUCCACGCCGUAAACGAUGAGUGCUAAGUGUUAGGGGGUUUCCGCCCCUUAGUGCUGCAGCUAACGCAUUAAGCACUCCGCCUGGGGAGUACGGCCGCAAAGGCUGA